Molecule: transfer-messenger RNA, 393 nt
Filed under: Gryllotalpicola protaetiae
Lineage: Bacteria; Bacillati; Actinomycetota; Actinomycetes; Micrococcales; Microbacteriaceae
Description: Standard tmRNA
Rfam family: transfer-messenger RNA
About the family: Bacterial tmRNA, also known as 10Sa RNA or SsrA, is named for its dual tRNA and mRNA-like properties. Its role is to liberate the mRNA from a stalled ribosome.
Source: Rfam by way of RNAcentral
GGGGAUGAUCGGUUUCGACAUCGCCUGAGCGAGUCUGAGAAGCGGGCCGAGGAUGCGGGGUUAUCUCGUUAACGACCCUCGCAAAACAUAAGUGCCAAUUCCAACAGCACUGUCGCGGCCAAGGCCGACCUCGCCCUCGCGGCGUAGUCCUUCCUAGCCGGUAAACGACCGUCGCGCCGGUGACUCGCCUUCCACCCGGCCUCGGCGUCAUCUUGAAGGCUUGCUCGACCGUUACGCCUUAGGGCGGUUGGGGACUUGCACUAGGGCUGGGUUCGUCGAGGUGGUGGCCGCCACCUAGCCUCGGGACCGAGAAAAGCGAUAAGCGCGGCUGCACCCGGAGAAUGCGGACGACCACAGCGAUGGACGGGGGUUCAAUUCCCCCCAUCUCCACCA